This 253-nucleotide ribosomal RNA is filed under the name uncultured bacterium. Its description in RNAcentral is "partial 16S ribosomal RNA". It matches the Rfam family "Bacterial small subunit ribosomal RNA", at positions 524 to 776 of the family's 1533-position model. The record is from RNAcentral.
UACGGGGGGGGCAAGCGUUGUUCGGAAUUACUGGGCGUAAAGGGCUCGUAGGCGGCCAACUAAGUCGGAUGUGAAAUCCCCAGGCUUAACCUGGGAACUGCAUCCGAUACUGGAUGGCUUGAAUCCGGGAGAGGGAUGCAGAAUUCCAGGUGUAGCGGUGAAAUGCGUAGAUAUCAAGAGGAACACCUGAGGUGAAGACGGGUUGCUGGGCUGACACUGACGCUGAGGCGCGAAAGCUAGGGGAGCAAACGGG